Molecule: signal recognition particle RNA, 231 nt
Filed under: uncultured Eubacterium sp.
Lineage: Bacteria; Bacillati; Bacillota; Clostridia; Eubacteriales; Eubacteriaceae
Description: Bacterial large signal recognition particle RNA
Rfam family: Bacterial large signal recognition particle RNA
About the family: The signal recognition particle (SRP) is a universally conserved ribonucleoprotein involved in the co-translational targeting of proteins to membranes. Archaeal SRP consists of a 7S RNA and homologues of the eukaryotic SRP19 and SRP54 proteins.
Source: RNAcentral
AGCCGGGGCGUUAGCGGUGCCCUGUACCUGCAGUCCGCUACAGCAGGGGUGAUGGGUGACCUAGGGUAAUUUGAGUAGGGCAGCCCUUUAUAAGCGAUGUUGAAGUUUGGGUCUUAUGCAAUGAGAAUUUGUGAACCGUGUCAGGUCAGGAAUGAAGCAGCACUAAGCAAAACCUCUCAUGUGACAUAAGGAAGCCUGAGCCGAGUUGGCUGUAAAGGUAACGCUUAGGAU